AAUUUUCGGCAAUGGGCGAAAGCCUGACCGAGCAACGCCGCGUGAAGGAAGAAGUCAUUCGUGAUGUAAACUUCUGUUAUGAAGGAAGAACGGCAGAUGGAGGGAAUGCCAUGUGCGUGACGGUACUUCAUGAGGAAGCAACGGCUAACUACGUGCCAGCAGCCGCGGUAAUACGUAGGUGGCGAGCGUUAUCCGGAAUCAUUGGGCGUAAAGAGGGAGCAGGCGGCAGUGCAGGUCUGCGGUGAAAGACCGGAGCUAAACUUCGGUAAGCCGUGGAAACCGCACAGCUAGAGAGCAUCAGAGGAUCGCGGAAUUCCAUGUGUAGCGGUGAAAUGCGUAGAUAUAUGGAGGAACACCAGUGGCGAAGGCGGCGGUCUGGGGUGCAGCUGACGCUCAGUCCCGAAAGCGUGGGGAGCAAAUAG
Molecule: ribosomal RNA, 422 nt
Filed under: uncultured bacterium
Lineage: Bacteria
Description: partial 16S ribosomal RNA
Rfam family: Bacterial small subunit ribosomal RNA
Source: RNAcentral